GACGAACGCUGGCGGCGUGCCUAAUACAUGCAAGUUGAGCGCUGAAGGUUGGUACUUGUACCAACUGGAUGAGCAGCGAACGGGUGAGUAACGCGUGGGGAAUCUGCCUUUGAGCGGGGGACAACAUUUGGAAACGAGUGCUAAUACCGCAUAAAAACUUUAAACACAAGUUUUAAGUUUGAAAGAUGCAAUUGCAUCACUCAAAGAUGAUCCCGCGUUGUAUUAGCUAGUUGGUGAGGUAAAGGCUCACCAAGGCGAUGAUACAUAGCCGACCUGAGAGGGUGAUCGGCCACAUUGGGACUGAGACACGGCCCAAACUCCUACGGGAGGCAGCAGUAGGGAAUCUUCGGCAAUGGACGAAAGUCUGACCGAGCAACGCCGCGUGAGUGAAGAAGGUUGUCGGAUCGUAAAACUCUGUUGGUAGAGAAGAACGUUGGUGAGAGUGGAAAGCUCAUCAAGUGACGGUAACUACCCAGAAAGGGACGGCUAACUACGUG
RNAcentral lists this ribosomal RNA (497 nucleotides) under uncultured bacterium. RNAcentral describes it as "partial 16S ribosomal RNA". It matches the Rfam family "Bacterial small subunit ribosomal RNA", at positions 28 to 507 of the family's 1533-position model. The record is from RNAcentral.